Molecule: ribosomal RNA, 482 nt
Filed under: uncultured bacterium
Lineage: Bacteria
Description: bacterial SSU rRNA
Rfam family: Bacterial small subunit ribosomal RNA
Source: RNAcentral
UUGAACGCUGGCGGCAUGCUUUACACAUGCAAGUCGAACGGCAGCGGGGGCUUCGGCCUGCCGGCGAGUGGCGAACGGGUGAGUAAUGCAUCGGAACGUACCCAGUCGUGGGGGAUAACUACGCGAAAGCGUGGCUAAUACCGCAUACGCCCUGAGGGGGAAAGCGGGGGACCGUAAGGCCUCGCGCGAUUGGAUCGGCCGAUGUUCGAUUAGCUAGUUGGUGGGGUAAAGGCCUACCAAGGCGACGAUCGAUAGCUGGUCUGAGAGGACGACCAGCCACACUGGAACUGAGACACGGUCCAGACUCCUACGGGAGGCAGCAGUGGGGAAUUUUGGACAAUGGGGGCAACCCUGAUCCAGCCAUUCCGCGUGAGUGAAGAAGGCCUUCGGGUUGUAAAGCUCUUUCAGCCGGAACGAAACGGUACGCUCUAACAUAGCGUGCUAAUGACGGUACCGGCAGAAGAAGCACCGGCUAACUACGU